GGUUGCAGUAGAUAGGUUAUCUAUCAAUUCUUUUGACUGUAGAGAGGGAGAGGUUGUAAACCCAGUAAGUUGCUCAGCACAUUUUAACUCUUCAUUUAAGUUAGGACAGGAUAGAUCUUCUUGCCUCCAGGUCAAUAACUUUGUGCUACACAGGGACAUAUCAAAGUCAUCUCCAUCCACCCCUGAUUUAAAGUCAGAUGUUAUUGUUGUUACUUUCCUUUCUCCACUUUUAAAUUCAUUGCUCUCCCUUUUAUAAAACUGCGUAAUUUCAGUUUGUUUAUAGUUAGGGAGAGUCCCACGCCCAGCAGAAGACGCCGGCAGCUCAGUCAUGAGAGAAACACCCAACACUCUGCAUGCAUUUCUAGAUGUGCACCCACCAUAAUCUUCCUAUGAGUGUGUCAACCAGCAUGAGAAAGAAAUGAGAAGAUAAAUUUGGAUAUAUACUCACUUUGAAUAUACACCAUACAAACACCCAAAAAUGGAUUCACUGGGUAUGCUGUUGGACUUCAUUUGCUGGCUGAGAUCUUGAAGCUUGCAGAGGAGUAUCAACUUUUUCAAACCUACUGUUUUUUAUGCCAUGAAAGUGCUUCAUGUCCUUUCAAGAUCUGCUAGGUAAUGUUAAACUGUCCAUGAGUUCUGUUGUGUGAGAUAAAAUGUAGCAUAGUUGUUAAGAGCACAAAUCUGGAAGUCUCUGUGUCAAAGUCACUCAACAAAGCCAAUUUAUAUGAGCACAUUGAUGUACUGUGAGUACGGUUAUGUGAAGUAGCCCUCAUAAAUGGCUAAACUUGUUCACUAUUGGGAAAUUUAGGGCUGGAUUUAGGGGCAGGCAACUGUUUGCGGGCAUUGGGCUUGGGAAGCACCUGUCACAGGCUAUCUACUCAAUGGUCCAAUCAAAAGCUGAAACAAAUAUUACAAACAGUUCAACUUCUCUUGUAAAACUGGCAGCUCUGACCUGUGUGGCCAUCAUUGUGUUAAGUUUUAGUGCUGAUGUUUAAAUCAUGGGAAAAUCUCUGACAACAAACAGUGCGCAUGUUAGCGAUUGUGAUCAGAUCCAUGCAUGCUAAUUUAUCCUGUUAUAUGACAGGGACAAAUAAUGGAUGUAAAUCUUGUAUCAAUUUCAUAAAACGGGCGACAUCAUUCCUUAAACUACAGAUAAACCUUCCAAUUUGUUUGUGGAAUAUGGAGCCAGGGAGACAUGGUAAUAUGACACAAAACUUUUCUGCCUUUGGACAAUCCUACUAUAAACAAGUUCACAUUUACUUGCACUAGACAGUUUCCAUUUAAGGUCUGUAUGUACUUGCUACUCUUGUGCCUAGUGAUCAGCAAAACAGUUAUGUUUUGUUUGUUAAGUGACACAGCACUGUACCAAAUAUAAAAAAGCAAUCUACAUUUCAUUUUAAUGAUUAGCACUUUUGCUGCAAUACUUGGUGACAGUAUCCUCCAUUCUUAACCAUUUGGGGGCCAUUAGAGGCUGUAACAGACAUAUAUAAUUAGUGCAUUUUUAAGACAUAAAUUGCUGCCUUUGGGGCCACUAGAUAUAGCAGCUACAAUCUGUC
Rhineura floridana is the source of this 1556-nucleotide long non-coding RNA. RefSeq lists it as uncharacterized. Lineage: Eukaryota; Metazoa; Chordata; Lepidosauria; Squamata; Rhineuridae. The transcript is spliced from 3 exons. The record is from RefSeq and is a predicted model, not a curated record.